Molecule: long non-coding RNA, 2549 nt
Organism: Lemur catta (Ring-tailed lemur)
Lineage: Eukaryota; Metazoa; Chordata; Mammalia; Primates; Lemuridae
Exons: 4
Source: RefSeq, a predicted model, not a curated record
CGCAACCAGGGGCUCAUUAGGUCCCUGUAUGGGUUUGCUUACCAGACAAAUUAGUUGGCCUUUUGGCCGCAGCCUGGAUGCCUCCUAGCAGUGUCUGGCGAUACCGAUUGAGAGCCUCGUUACUCGUUCAGGUCCCAGUCCAGGCGCGUGGCGGGGAAGACAAACUCUACUCGGGCUGGGUCAAUCGUGGGUUGCCUGUCCGGGCCAGGAAUGGAUUUGAUCACCUCCCUCCUCAUCUGCUCAUGCUCUGCAGAAGUGAAGAGGGUUUGGAGGAGCUGCUGGCAGUCCUCCAAGUUGGCUGGGCCGGGCUUUCCCUUUAAAGGCGGCCCAGUCAAGAAAACUGAUUGUUUUUUGCAGCCUUGUUUUUGUGGGGUUUAAGACAAGACUGUAACUAUUUAGGGUUGUCUACUUAAGUUGUUAUUCCAGAUAUGUAUAUAAGGGACUUGGUCUGGAUGUCCUGGAUGGCCGGCACCCUGUUGGCAAGUAUAACUUGGACACUGCCCUCUGGGGGCCAUCCAGUACCAAAUGUGGGCCACUGUCAUUCACAAAAUUUCUGUAAGUCAAAGGUUUUAACUGAAAAGCCUUAGGGCCUGGCCCGAUGCUGAAAGUCCUGGAAAUUUCUCAAGAAGCAUUUAAGAGGAGAGCAAGUAACACAGGACUGAGAUUGGCCCAUGAUGAAAAGCUUAAAUAUCACAAGAUUCAGGCAACAGUCAGAAUGAGGAGCAACACCACAACCAGAAAAGGAAAGAAACCUACUGCAGUCCAGUCUACACCCACUAAUCACAGCUCCCAAUCCUCUGGGGCCACUGAGUAAAGUCUGAUAUCCAGCAAAUUGAGUAAACCCGAACAGGCCAACAGCAAUGUAAGAAGCUGACUCAGUCAUUCAGUUCAAGGGGACCUGAGUAGUCUGUCUCAGAGACAAUUUUUAUAUACAGUCUACUUUUAUUAAACACCUAAUGCCAGCGACAAAACACAGAGACACAGACUUGUUUUACAGGGUAGGGUUUCUCAAGCUCCGGGGGCUUUUGGCCGUGGAGUUGUGACACUCACUCACCCACACCACCUGUGGACAUAAAGGAUGGAGGACAAGACAAUUGGCCCCUGAUGACAGCGCGCAUAAAUCGGACUCCCUACUGUCACUGCUGCCUCAGAUGGACCCAAGAUGGUGGUGGCAAGCACAGGCUGUCUACCCCUCUCUUGAUUUUGAUAAUAAGGGCCUCGGACCCGCUGACACCAAGGGCAGUCAGGGAGCUGCCAAUUUGGCUUGACCGGUGCAGUUGGAUUAAUUUGGCGCCUUGUUGAUUUCACAGUCGACUCUUUAAAUCUCAUUCAAAAAGAAAACCAGAAAUUUCAGCCACCUAAAAAGAUCUGAAGAGCACAUACAGAGAAAGUUCAAAACUAUAACCUAGGACCCAGAUGACAGGUGAAACCGAAAUGGAAUUGAAGCUGAGAGAAAUGAAAGUAGAAGAAGAGUAAUCCAAAAGAAAAUACUCAGGAAUCUGACCAGGACUCGCAAGUCCUAGGUGACAUUUCACAUCCCAGGACUCGCCCGAGGAAAAGGGGAAACAGAAUCAGGUCCUGACAGUAAGUUCCAGGUGACGUCUCACCUCUUGCAACCCGCCUGAGCAAUGAAGCUGCAUUCCAGCCAAUCUCCUGAGGUGCCAGACAACUCCGGAGCCAGAAACAGACCAGAAAAGAACUCACCGGUGAACAGAACCAGAAGACUCGUCUAGAAGAAUCUGCAGUUUUGAAGGUGUCAGGGGCGGUGCAUUGUGAAGCCUCUGCCCGGGGCUGAGGAAUGUCUCCCAGAGGGCUUCCCCUAGGCAAGACCCUCGACUCCACGCCUGGUCCUCAGGCACAGAUGGUGGCCAGGUACCCGGUAUUAGGGCAGAGUCUCGCUAGGGCCUCCAAAUGUUAUGGUCUGAGACUCAAAAAAUGACCACCUAAGGACUGAAUUGAGCCAAAUUAGGAGUCUUCAUUAGCUGGCCAGCGACUCCUCUCUGCGGCUGACAGUCUUGGGUUUGGCUGCCAAAGAUUGAAGAAGCCCUAACUUGGUGACCCCCAUCACCCUCGCUGAGCCCAGGGUAACAGUCAAGGUAGCUGUUUCUCCAACGCCGCAUACAGAAACUCUCUCGGGUCACAGGAAAUCAGCUGCUUCUACACCCCUACUCUCCCCUACCAGUUACCCCUCUGCCAAACCAUUCCAGCCUCUACCCCUAACUACAACUCCGUUCAGCAGGAAGUAGCCAAAAAGGCCCCGGUGCCCCAUCAUCACCAAAAGGCUGGAAUGUAAGGCUGAGGGUGGGAAGCCCCUCCCCAAUAAAAAAGAGAAACUCUGCUAAAGGCAGAGUACUCUCUGCAGUGGUAGGCAAAAGCCUGCCUCGGAGUUACAGCCUGUCAUUGCUAGCUGAACACCCCAGCCCGGGCUCAACCGCAUCCUGCUUUCUGCGACCUAGACACUGUGACUUCUCGAGGCUCUGGUUUCUCCCGGGACCUGUUACCCUCACCCUGCAGCACUCCAAUAAAGCCUCUUUGCUUAACCCUUUCAA